RNAcentral lists this long non-coding RNA (1302 nucleotides) under Hordeum vulgare. RNAcentral's name for it is "long non-coding RNA (HVUL_LNC001993)". Lineage: Eukaryota; Viridiplantae; Streptophyta; Magnoliopsida; Poales; Poaceae. The record is from RNAcentral.
AUUUUUAAUAUGUAACACUUUUUUAAUGUAUCAACACUCGAUAAAAAUUCACUAACCAAAUUUUACAUCGUGUUGACAUUUUAAAAAUUCACGGUGAAUAUUUAUUUAAAUAUUUAACUACACUAAAUUUUAUAUUGCUAUAGUUUUUAUAUCGUAAAUAAAAACAACAAUAGGAACUAACACAAAGUAUUAUAUAUAAAUAUCUACCAAACUCCAGCCGCUUAAGACUCAAAAUACAUCAUUACUUGUUCCUACUGCACACCCCCUGCUCUAGUUUUUGCCCAACGUCCAGCCAAUUAACACAUUGUGUUUUUUUGUUUCAAGACCUAUGUUAAAGCAUAUUUCUCCGUAUGUGGUUUUGAUAAUUGAUAGCAGUCCCUAUGAACUAAUGGUUGUCUUAAGUUAUAUUCGAAGGAUUUGUUCAUGGCCACUUCUUGAAGUCUAUCUAUUGGUUUUAAAGAGUUUAUAUGAUGAACAAGGGGUUAUUCAAGAUUUUAUCCAAAGAUUGGUCAUAAAGACACAAGGUUGAUUAAGACUAAGUCAAAGAGUGAAUCUAGUUAAUCAACACACAAAGCAUACAAGAUGUACCGAGAGGGAUCAUGUUAUCUCAUUGUAUGGUAAGCAUUGUCCAUUACGUUUUGUGUACUAACUCAUGGUCUUCAUGAGAGUUCUAUGUGGGGUUAGUUGUGUUUUCAUGGGCUUGCGUCAAGAGGAAUAUCUCAUUCAACCAAUGAAAGAUUACGGUGUGAAAGUUUAAGUGGAGCAUCACGAAGAGAUCAUGCUUGAAGCUUGCCAUCCAUUUUGGUGACAAUGGACUUGUGAAGAUGUGCCAAAGAAUGGCUCACCCGCAAUGAUUAUGGGAGAGCAAUCAACUAGUCUUCAUCGAGCCAACACGAUCAAAAAAGAUGGUCCACAUUGAGGAAGUCAAGAUCGUCAUCAUCUAGCUCAAGUGGACUAUGUGAAGGUAUAGGCUUGUCCUUGAUAGGUUUUCUAUUUUACGAGUCUCAUGGUGGUAGUUGGGAGACUGGGUUGUAGGAUAGAUUAUCGUACUAUCAAGAAGGGCUCUCAAGGGAGUAGCUUGAUCAUAUUGUUCGUUGAGAGCUCAAACAUUUGCAUCCUUGCAUCAUCUUUCUUGGUUCUUGUUUGGUGUUUCUCUUUGUGAGUUCUUGAGCUUAUGGUCAUCUUUAUGACAAGUUUGAGUUCACCGAAAACAGAGUUCAUGUGGAUCUUCUAUGAUGUUUUCGAUGUUGGAGUUUUUGCAAGUUCUUCAUUCAUAGAGGUUUCACAUCUCUAUAUCAUUGG